This 253-nucleotide ribosomal RNA is filed under the name uncultured bacterium. Its description in RNAcentral is "partial 16S ribosomal RNA". It matches the Rfam family "Bacterial small subunit ribosomal RNA", at positions 524 to 776 of the family's 1533-position model. The record is from RNAcentral.
UACGUAGGGGGCAAGCGUUGUCCGGAUUUAUUGGGCGUAAAGAGCGUGUAGGCGGCCAAGCAGGUCCGCUGUGAAAGUCCAGGGCUCAACCCUGGGAUGCCGGUGGAUACUGUCGGGCUCGAGUCCGGAAGAGGCGAGUGGAAUUCCUGGUGUAGCGGUGAAAUGCGCAGAUAUCAGGAAGAACACCCGUGGCGAAGGCGGUCCUCUGGGACGGUACUGACGCUGAGACGCGAAAGCGUGGGGAGCGAACAGG